GGUGACUAUAGCAAGGAGGUCACACCUGUUCCCAUGCCGAACACAGAAGUUAAGCUCCUUAGCGUCGAUGGUAGU
RNAcentral lists this ribosomal RNA (75 nucleotides) under Staphylococcus aureus subsp. aureus 21272. Lineage: Bacteria; Bacillati; Bacillota; Bacilli; Caryophanales; Staphylococcaceae. The record is from RNAcentral.